RNAcentral lists this long non-coding RNA (10930 nucleotides) under Volvox carteri. Its description in RNAcentral is "long non-coding RNA (VCAR_LNC003937)". The stretch from base 2281 to 2352 matches the Rfam family "tRNA". Lineage: Eukaryota; Viridiplantae; Chlorophyta; Chlorophyceae; Chlamydomonadales; Volvocaceae. The record is from RNAcentral.
GGAAAGCAUCUAUAAAACGUAACUAGCACUAUUCCGUUCUGACAUGAAUGAGCUUUAUUGGUUGAUACAGACAUAUAGCAGUUUCGUCGUUAAUGUUUGCGAGCUCCUGUACAUGGCCCCGAUAGCCUGCUGGAUGCCUAUGCAUGCACAUGCAUGCAUGCAUGCAUGCAUAGGCAUGAAGAAAUGUAGACCAGCAGGCGAUUCAUAUGCAUAUGUCGAGUAAUAAGUACGAGGGUGGGCAUCACAUCCUAAAGCACCUGCCUGUACAUGGGGAUGUACAUGUGCCACAUGGGUAGGUUCAAGGCCUAGGUGGGCGUCUCAUUUAAUCGGCUGUGUAAUUGGUUGGCUAGAGUUAUGUAGGAUUUCUGGAUGGGGUAGCUAUAGCUAUGCAUGCUAGCCGACGAUGUUAUUGUGUAGUACGCUACAUUUCCCUCCAAAUAUUUUAACGAUUAUUAAUAACAACACCUGUUAAUUCCGUUGACGAUUCGACUCAAGUUCCGUACAUGUACAUGUCCCACAAUAUCAUGACACGGACAUAUCGGAUGUUCGUAGCGACACCUAACAGGCUGGGGCCCCGGGCCCCAUCGACAGUAUCCUAGUACAGUACGACAGGACCGUAGUAGAGAUUCGUCCGGCAGGUAGGCCAAGAUAUAAGCUACCCGGGCGGGGUGCUCUGGCCAGGCACUUCAGUAUCACGACUACUUGGUGUUCGGAGUCCAAGACUCUGCUGCCACCGUCUUAGUUGCUUCGAUCUUGUCUAUGUAAGCUAGUGCCUGUCGCUGGGUUGGACUCCUUCCCGCCUCAGCAAGGCCCCUAAGCUCCACGCUUCUGCAAGGUCAGUCGUGCCACCAGGCGAGCAUCUGCCACGUGCUGCAAUCUACUAGAUCUGUAAGGAUACAGAUAGAUGCUGCUAUAUGCCCUGCCUAUGAGUUGGUAGCUGGAUGGGCCAAGUGCGGCAGGGUAGGAUUUUAAUGUAGAUAGAGCAGUAACCUCCGAUGUUUGCACAACAUGGAUGUGGGGGGUUUAUUCGCAUCACAAAUCAUUCAUGCGCACAAAACCUCUGUAUACAUGCAUAGCGUUCCUUACAUUCUUCUGCCCUAGUUUCAGGGGCCGGUGACGCCAGGGUGACAAGAUAUGAGUCUCAUGCGUGCGUUUUCAUGUGUGUGUAUGUACGGCUUGCGUUGUUGUGGUACGUUUGUGUCGUACAACGAUGGCACGUUUGAGAGUUUGGUCUAGUGGUAUGAUUCUCGCUUAGGGUGCGAGAGGUCGUGGGUUCAAUUCCCGCAACUCCCCGGCACAUGCGCACGACAGCUUCCUCCUCAGCGACGAAACGAAGGGUCUCUAGCUCAGUGGUAGAGCAGCUGACUGCAGAUCAGCAGGUCUCCGGUUCGAUCCCGGAGGGGCCCUGGUAUUGACCCUCCUUGACUCAAGAGUGUCUGUCAGAAGCGUGCAGAAAUCCUCUUGCAGCGAAGCAGAAGUAGGUUUUUCACCCCAACCUGAUGUAUCCUGCGCAGACCGCAGGGGCGGUUUCUAUCACCCCUAUCGAUAGCCUGUAUGUGGUAUGGGCACUGCACUGUGCAACCAUGUCAUGAGGACCUUACCAACAAUCAGCAUGCUUGUACACACUUUGCAUAUGCAUUCCUACCCGCAUGCACAUAGCAUGCAUGCUGUGUAUGUGUGGUUACAUCUAAUAAUAUAAUAAGUAGGUUGAGCAGUUACAUAGGUGAGGCUGGUCAAUGGUGAUCACCUACCAUUCAUGGAAGGCAUUCAUGCAUUCUCAGACCAGAUCCAUUGUUAUUUUAUCCUGGUGCAUCCACUUGUUAUCAUAGGGUGUGGUGACGCACGGCUACCUGCCUUCAGGCUCCUUUCCACAGCUUUAGUCAACUUUCAAGUCAAAACGGAUCAGAUAUGUCAGUACGGCCGGUCUUUCAGUGCAUGAUGAUCGACAUGGAAGACAUUUCGCUCGUAUGGGUCUUGAUUGUCAAAUCGAUUCUAUGUUGGAUAUGGCGGAUGUUAAAUGGUAUUGGUUCUUGUCUCAUCACAUAUAAUUGAGCCAAUAACCAUUAUCAUGCGUUAUGGACAAACCAAGGGACCGACCGACUGACUGACUCAGGGCAAAAAGAGGCCAGAUGCGGGACUUAGCGAUGGGUUGCACUGAAACACAAUGUGUGAGUAGGUGUUGUGUAUCUAAAAUGUACGCACCUACCCAUACAUAGAUGGGAUACCCAUGUAUGUGUGCCCAGUAGAGCUAUAUAUCUGAACAUUUUACGAUUUGUGAGCGCCUAUAUAGCUUAGUGGUAGAGCGUUCCCUUCGUAAGGGAAAGGUCUUGAGUUCAAUCCUCAAUGUGGGCAUUUUAUGUGUUGCUGGGAUGUUUGUAUGGCUGCAAUCGCAGUCUUCUACUGAAGCACAUGUCUUUACGAUUUCAUAGGACAUCAAGGGAAAAGGUCCCGCGUAAAGUCCUGCACACAGCAGGAAAACAAGGGAGGAUCGUCCGCCUUCAGUCUGUAUCACUGCCAAUGGAAAGCAUCUAUAAAACGUAACUAGCACUAUUCCGUUCUGACAUGAAUGAGCUUUAUUGGUUGAUACAGACAUAUAGCAGUUUCGUCGUUAAUGUUUGCGAGCUCCUGUACAUGGCCCCGAUAGCCUGCUGGAUGCCUAUGCAUGCACAUGCAUGCAUGCAUGCAUGCAUAGGCAUGAAGAAAUGUAGACCAGCAGGCGAUUCAUAUGCAUAUGUCGAGUAAUAAGUACGAGGGUGGGCAUCACAUCCUAAAGCACCUGCCUGUACAUGGGGAUGUACAUGUGCCACAUGGGUAGGUUCAAGGCCUAGGUGGGCGUCUCAUUUAAUCGGCUGUGUAAUUGGUUGGCUAGAGUUAUGUAGGAUUUCUGGAUGGGGUAGCUAUAGCUAUGCAUGCUAGCCGACGAUGUUAUUGUGUAGUACGCUACAUUUCCCUCCAAAUAUUUUAACGAUUAUUAAUAACAACACCUGUUAAUUCCGUUGACGAUUCGACUCAAGUUCCGUACAUGUACAUGUCCCACAAUAUCAUGACACGGACAUAUCGGAUGUUCGUAGCGACACCUAACAGGCUGGGGCCCCGGGCCCCAUCGACAGUAUCCUAGUACAGUACGACAGGACCGUAGUAGAGAUUCGUCCGGCAGGUAGGCCAAGAUAUAAGCUACCCGGGCGGGGUGCUCUGGCCAGGCACUUCAGUAUCACGACUACUUGGUGUUCGGAGUCCAAGACUCUGCUGCCACCGUCUUAGUUGCUUCGAUCUUGUCUAUGUAAGCUAGUGCCUGUCGCUGGGUUGGACUCCUUCCCGCCUCAGCAAGGCCCCUAAGCUCCACGCUUCUGCAAGGUCAGUCGUGCCACCAGGCGAGCAUCUGCCACGUGCUGCAAUCUACUAGAUCUGUAAGGAUACAGAUAGAUGCUGCUAUAUGCCCUGCCUAUGAGUUGGUAGCUGGAUGGGCCAAGUGCGGCAGGGUAGGAUUUUAAUGUAGAUAGAGCAGUAACCUCCGAUGUUUGCACAACAUGGAUGUGGGGGUUUAUUCGCAUCACAAAUCAUUCAUGCGCACAAAACCUCUGUAUACAUGCAUAGCGUUCCUUACAUUCUUCUGCCCUAGUUUCAGGGGCCGGUGACGCCAGGGUGACAAGAUAUGAGUCUCAUGCGUGCGUUUUCAUGUGUGUGUAUGUACGGCUUGCGUUGUUGUGGUACGUUUGUGUCGUCCAACGAUGGCAUGUUUGGGAUUUUGGUCUAGUGGUAUGAUUCUCGCUUAGGGUGCGAGAGGUCGUGGGUUCAAUUCCCGCAACUCCCCGGCACACGCGCACGACAGCUUCCUCCUCAGCAACGAAACGAAGGGUCUCUAGCUCAGUGGUAGAGCAGCUGCCUGCAGAUCAGCAGGUCUCCGGUUCGAUCCCGGAGGGGCCCUGGUAUUGGCCCUCCUUGACUCAAGAGUGUCUGUCAGAAGCGUGCAGAAAUCCUCUUGCAGCGAAGCAGAAGUAGGUUUUUCACCCCAACCUGAUGUAUCCUGCGCAGACCGCAGGGGCGGUUUCUAUCACCCCUAUCGAUAGCCUGUAUGUGGUAUGGGCACUGCACUGUGCAACCAUGUCAUGAGGACCUUACCAACAAUCAGCAUGCUUGUACACACUUUGCAUAUGCAUUCCUACCCGCAUGCACAUAGCAUGCAUGCUGUGUAUGUGUGGUUACAUCUAAUAAUAUAAUAAGUAGGUUGAGCAGUUACAUAGGUGAGGCUGGUCAAUGGUGAUCACCUACCAUUCAUGGAAGGCAUUCAUGCAUUCUCAGACCAGAUCCAUUGUUAUUUUAUCCUGGUGCAUCCACUUGUUAUCAUAGGGUGUGGUGACGCACGGCUACCUGCCUUCAGGCUCCUUUCCACAGCUUUAGUCAACUUUCAAGUCAAAACGGAUCAGAUAUGUCAGUACGGCCGGUCUUUCAGUGCAUGAUGAUCAACAUGGAAGACAUUUCGCUCGUAUGGGUCUUGAUUGUCAAAUCGAAUCUAUGUUGGAUAUGGCGGAUGUUAAAUGGUAUUGGUUCUUGUCUCAUCACAUAUAAUUGAGCCAAUAACCAUUAUCAUGCGUUAUGGACAAACCAAGGGACCGACCGACUGACUGACUCAGGGCAAAAAGAGGCCAGAUGCGGGACUUAGCGAUGGGUUGCACUGAAACACAAUGUGUGAGUAGGUGUUGUGUAUCUAAAAUGUACGCACCUACCCAUACAUAGAUGGGAUACCCAUGUAUGUGUGCCUAGUAGAGCUAUAUAUCUGAACAUUUUACGAUUUGUGAGCGCCUAUAUAGCUUAGUGGUAGAGCGUUCCCUUCGUAAGGGAAAGGUCUUGAGUUCAAUCCUCAAUGUGGGCAUUUUAUGUGUUGCUGGGAUGUUUGUAUGGCUGCAAUCGCAGUCUUCUACUGAAGCACAUGUACAUGUCUUUACGAUUUCAUAGGACAUCAAGGGAAAAGGUCCUGCGUAAAGUCCUGCACACAGCAGGAAAACAAGGGAGGAUCGUCCGCCUUCAGUCUGUAUCACUGCCAAUGGAAAGCAUCUAUAANACGUAACUAGCACUAUUCCGUUCUGACAUGAAUGAGCUUUAUUGGUUGAUACAGACAUAUAGCAGUUUCGUCGUUAAUGUUUGCGAGCUCCUGUACAUGGCUCCGAUAGCCUGCUGGAUGCCUAUGCAUGCACAUGCAUGCAUGCAUGCAUGCAUGCAUNNNNNNNNNNNNNNNNNNNNNNNNNNNNNNNNNNNNNNNNNNNNNNNNNNAGUUGGUAGCUGGAUGGGCCAAGUGCGGCAGGGUAGGAUUUUAAUGUAGAUAGAGCAGUAACCUCCGAUGUUUGCACAACAUGGAUGUGGGGGGUUUAUUCGCAUCACAAAUCAUUCAUGCGCACAAAACCUCUGUAUACAUGCAUAGCGCUCCUUACAUUCUUCUGCCCUAGUUUCAGGGGCCGGUGACGCCAGGGUGACAAGAUAUGAGUCUCAUGCGUGCGUUUUCAUGUGUGUGUAUGUACGGCUUGCGUUGUUGUGGUAUGUUUGUGUCGUACAACGAUGGCAUGUUUGGGAGUUUGGUCUAGUGGUAUGAUUCUCGCUUAGGGUGCGAGAGGUCGUGGGUUCAAUUCCCGCAACUCCCCGGCACACGCGCACGACAGCUUCCUCCUCAGCGACGAAAUGAAGGGUCUCUAGCUCAGUGGUAGAGCAGCUGACUGCAGAUCAGCAGGUCUCCGGUUCGAUCCCGGAGGGGCCCUGGUAUUGGCCCUCCUUGACUCAAGAGUGUCUGUCAGAAGCGUGCAGAAAUCCUCUUGCAGCGAAGCAGAAGUAGGUUUUUCACCCCAACCUGAUGUAUCCUGCGCAGACCGCAGGGGCGGUUUCUAUCACCCCUAUCGAUAGCCUGUAUGUGGUAUGGGCACUGCACUGUGCAACCAUGUCAUGAGGACCUUACCAACAAUCAGCAUGCUUGUACACACUUUGCAUAUGCAUUCCUACCCGCAUGCACAUAGCAUGCAUGCUGUGUAUGUGUGGUUACAUCUAAUAAUAUAAUAAGUAGGUUGAGCAGUUACAUAGGUGAGGCUGGUCAAUGGUGAUCACCUACCAUUCAUGGAAGGCAUUCAUGCAUUCUCAGACCAGAUCCAUUGUAUUUUAUCCUGGGCAUCCACUGUAUCAUAGGGUGUGGUGACGCACGGCUACCUGCCUUCAGGCUCCUUUCCACAGCUUUAGUCAACUUUCAAGUCAAAACGGAUCAGAUAUGUCAGUACGGCCGGUCUUUCAGUGCAUGAUGAUCGACAUGGAAGACAUUUCGCUCGUAUGGGUCUUGAUUGUCAAAUCGAUUCUAUGUUGGAUAUGNCGGAUGUUAAAUGGUAUUGGUUCUUGUCUCAUCACAUAUAAUUGAGCCAAUAACCAUUAUCAUGCGUUAUGGACAAACCAAGGGACCGACCGACUGACUGACUCAGGGCAAAAAGAGGCCAGAUGCGGGACUUAGCGAUGGGUUGCACUGAAACACAAUGUGUGAGUAGGUGUUGUGUAUCUAAAAUGUACGCACCUACCCAUACAUAGAUGGGAUACCCAUGUAUGUGUGCCUAGUAGAGCUAUAUAUCUGAACAUUUUACGAUUUGUGAGCGCCUAUAUAGCUUAGUGGUAGAGCGUUCCCUUCGUAAGGGAAAGGUCUUGAGUUCAAUCCUCAAUGUGGGCAUUUUAUGUGUUGCUGGGAUGUUUGUAUGGCUGCAAUCGCAGUCUUCUACUGAAGCACAUGUACAUGUCUUUACGAUUUCAUAGGACAUCAAGGGAAAAGGUCCUGCGUAAAGUCCUGCACACAGCAGGAAAACAAGGGAGGAUCGUCCGCCUUCAGUCUGUAUCACUGCCAAUGGAAAGCAUCUAUAAAACGUAACUAGCACUAUUCCGUUCUGACAUGAAUGAGCUUUAUUGGUUGAUACAGACAUAUAGCAGUUUCGUCGUUAAUGUUUGCGAGCUCCUGUACAUGGCUCCGAUAGCCUGCUGGAUGCCUAUGCAUGCACAUGCAUGNNNNNNNNNNNNNNNNNNNNNNNNNNNNNNNNNNNNNNNNNNNNNNNNNNNNNNNNNNNNNNNNNNNNNNNNNNNNNNNNNNNNNNNNNNNNNNNNNNNNNNNNNNNNNNNNNNNNNNNNNNNNNNNNNNNNNNNNNNNNNNNNNNNNNNNNNNNNNNNNNNNNNNNNNNNNNNNNNNNNNNNNNNNNNNNNNNNNNNNNNNNNNNNNNNNNNNNNNNNNNNNNNNNNNNNNNNNNNNNNNNNNNNNNNNNNNNNNNNNNNNNNNNNNNNNNNNNNNNNNNNNNNNNNNNNNNNNNNNNNNNUCCAAAUAUUUUAACGAUUAUUAAUAACAACACCUGUUAAUUCCGUUGACGAUUCGACUCAAGUUCCGUACAUGUACAUGUCACACAAUAUCAUGACACGGACAUAUCGGAUGUUCGUAGCGACACCUAACAGGCUGGGGCCCCGGGCCCCAUCGACAGUAUCCUAGUACAGUACGACAGGACCGUAGUAGAGAUUCGUCCGGCAGGUAGGCCAAGAUAUAAGCUACCCGGGCGGGGUGCUCUGGCCAGGCACUUCAGUAUCACGACUACUUGGUGUUCGGAGUCCAAGACUCUGCUGCCACCGUCUUAGUUGCUUCGAUCUUGUCUAUGUAAGCUAGUGCCUGUCGCUGGGUUGGACUCCUUCCCGCCUCAGCAAGGCCCCUAAGCUCCACGCUUCCGCAAGGUCAGUCGUGCCACCAGGCGAGCAUCUGCCACGUGCUGCAAUCUACUAGAUCUGUAAGGAUACAGAUAGAUGCUGCUAUAUGCCCUGCCUAUGAGUUGGUAGCUGGAUGGGCCAAGUGCGGCAGGGUAGGAUUUUAAUGUAGAUAGAGCAGUAACCUCCGAUGUUUGCACAACAUGGAUGUGGGGGUUUAUUCGCAUCACAAAUCAUUCAUGCGCACAAAACCUCUGUAUACAUGCAUAGCGUUCCUUACAUUCUUCUGCCCUAGUUUCAGGGGCCGGUGACGCCAGGGUGACAAGAUAUGAGUCUCAUGCGUGCGUUUUCAUGUGUGUGUAUGUACGGCUUGGGUUGUUGUGGUACGUUUGUGUCGUACAACGUUGGCAUGUUUGGGAGUUUGGUCUAGUGGUAUGAUUCUCGCUUAGGGUGCGAGAGGUCGUGGGUUCAAUUCCCGCAACUCCCCGGCACACGCGCACGACAGCUUCCUCCUCAGCAACGAAACGAAGGGUCUCUAGCUCAGUGGUAGAGCAGCUGACUGCAGAUCAGCAGGUCUCCGGUUCGAUCCCGGAGGGGCCCUGGUAUUGGCCCUCCUUGACUCAAGAGUGUCUGUCAGAAGCGUGCAGAAAUCCUCUUGCAGCGAAGCAGAAGUAGGUUUUUCACCCCAACCUGAUGUAUCCUGCGCAGACCGCAGGGGCGGUUUCUAUCACCCCUAUCGAUAGCCUGUAUGUGGUAUGGGCACUGCACUGUGCAACCAUGUCAUGAGGACCUUACCAACAAUCAGCAUGCUUGUACACACUUUGCAUAUGCAUUCCUACCCGCAUGCACAUAGCAUGCAUGCUGUGUAUGUGUGGUUACAUCUAAUAAUAUAAUAAGUAGGUUGAGCAGUUACAUAGGUGAGGCUGGUCAAUGGUGAUCACCUACCAUUCAUGGAAGGCAUUCAUGCAUUCUCAGACCAGAUCCAUUGUUAUUUUAUCCUGGUGCAUCCACUUGUUAUCAUAGGGUGUGGUGACGCACGGCUACCUGCCUUCAGGCUCCUUUCCACAGCUUUAGUCAACUUUCAAGUCAAAACGGAUCAGAUAUGUCAGUACGGCCGGUCUUUCAGUGCAUGAUGAUCGACAUGGAAGACAUUUCGCUCGUAUGGGUCUUGAUUGUCAAAUCGAUUCUAUGUUGGAUAUGGCGGAUGUUAAAUGGUAUUGGUUCUUGUCUCAUCACAUAUAAUUGAGCCAAUAACCAUUAUCAUGCGUUAUGGACAAACCAAGGGACCGACCGACUGACUGACUCAGGGCAAAAAGAGGCCAGAUGCGGGACUUAGCGAUGGGUUGCACUGAAACACAAUGUGUGAGUAGGUGUUGUGUAUCUAAAAUGUACGCACCUACCCAUACAUAGAUGGGAUACCCAUGUAUGUGUGCCUAGUAGAGCUAUAUAUCUGAACAUUUUACGAUUUGUGAGCGCCUAUAUAGCUUAGUGAUAGAGCAUUCCCUUCGUAAGGGAAAGGUCUUGAGUUCAAUCCUCAAUGUGGGCAUUUUAUGUGUUGCUGGGAUGUUUGUAUGGCUGCAAUCGCAGUCUUCUACUGAAGCACAUGUACAUGUCUUUACGAUUUCAUAGGACAUCAAGGGAAAAGGUCCUGCGUAAAGUCCUGCACACAGCAGGAAAACAAGGGAGGAUCGUCCGCCUUCAGUCUGUAUCACUGCCAAUGGAAAGCAUCUAUAAAACGUAACUAGCACUAUUCCGUUCUGACAUGAAUGAGCUUUAUUGGUUGAUACAGACAUAUAGCAGUUUCGUCGUUAAUGUUUGCGAGCUCCUGUACAUGGCCCCGAUAGCCUGCUGGAUGCCUAUGCAUGCACAUGCAUGCAUGCAUGCAUGCAUGCAUAGGCAUGAAGAAAUGUAGACCAGCAGGCGAUUCAUAUGCAUAUGUCGAGUAAUAAGUACGAAGGUGGGCAUCACAUCCUAAAGCACCUGCCUGUACAUGGGGAUGUACAUGUGCCACAUGGGUAGGUUCAAGGCCUAGGUGGGCGUCUCAUUUAAUCGGCUGUGUAAUUGGUUGGCUAGAGUUAUGUAGGAUUUCUGGAUGGGGUAGCUAUAGCUAUGCAUGCUAGCCGACGAUGUUAUUGUGUAGUACGCUACAUUUCCCUCCAAAUAUUUUAACGAUUAUUAAUAACAACACCUGUUAAUUCCGUUGACGAUUCGACUCAAGUUCCGUACAUGUACAUGUCACACAAUAUCAUGACACGGACAUAUCGGAUGUUCGUAGCGACACCUAACAGGCUGGGGCCCCGGGCCCCAUCGACAGUAUCCUAGUACAGUACGACAGGACCGUAGUAGAGAUUCGUCCGGCAGGUAGGCCAAGAUAUAAGCUACCCGGGCGGGGUGCUCUGGCCAGGCACUUCAGUAUCACGACUACUUGGUGUUCGGAGUCCAAGACUCUGCUGCCACCGUCUUAGUUGCUUCGAUCUUGUCUAUGUAAGCUAGUGCCUGUCGCUGGGUUGGACUCCUUCCCGCCUCAGCAAGGCCCCUAAGCUCCACGCUUCCGCAAGGUCAGUCGUGCCACCAGGCGAGCAUCUGCCACGUGCUGCAAUCUACUAGAUCUGUAAGGAUACAGAUAGAUGCUGCUAUAUGCCCUGCCUAUGAGUUGGUAGCUGGAUGGGCCAAGUGCGGCAGGGUAGGAUUUUAAUGUAGAUAGAGCAGUAACCUCCGAUGUUUGCACAACAUGGAUGUGGGGGGUUUAUUCGCAUCACAAAUCAUUCAUGCGCACAAAACCUCUGUAUACAUGCAUAGCGUUCCUUACAUUCUUCUGCCCUAGUUUCAGGGGCCGGUGACGCCAGGGUGACAAGAUAUGAGUCUCAUGCGUGCGUUUUCAUGUGUGUGUAUGUACGGCUUGCGUUGUUGUGGUACGUUUGUGUCGUACAACGAUGGCAUGUUUGGGAGUUUGGUCUAGUGGCAUGAUUCUCGCUUAGGGUGCGAGAGGUCGUGGGUUCAAUUCCCGCAACUCCCCGGCACACGCGCACGACCGCUUCCUCUUCAGCAACGAAACGAAGGGUCUCUAGCUCAGUGGUAGAGCAGCUGACUGCAGAUCAGCAGGUCUCCGGUUCGAUCCCGGAGGGGCCCUGGUAUUGACCCUCCUUGACUCAAGAGUGUCUGUCAGAAGCGUGCAGAAAUCCUCUUGCAGCGAAGCAGAAGUAGGUUUUUCACCCCAACCUGAUGUAUCCUGCGCAGA